GACGGGGGCCCGCACAAGCGGUGGAGUAUGUGGUUUAAUUCGAUGCAACGCGAAGAACCUUACCUGGUCUUGACAUCCCAGAAAUCCCUUGGAAACUUGGGAGUGCUUCCAUUAGGAAGAAUCUGGAGACAGGUGCUGUAUGGCUGUCGUCAGCUCGUGUCGUGAGAUGUUGGGUUAAGUCCCGCGACGAGCGCAACCCUUGCCUUUAGUUGCCAGCAGUUCGGCUGGGCACUCUAAAGGGACUGCCGGUGUUAAACCGGAGGAAGGUGGGGAUGACGUCAAGUCCUCAUGGCCUUUAUGACCAGGGCUACACACGUACUACAAUGGCCGAUACAAAGGGCAGCGACAUUGCGAAAUGAAGCCAAUCCCAUAAAUUCGGUCUCAGUCCGGAUUGGAGUCUGCAACUCGACUCCAUGAAGUUGGAAUCGCUAGUAAUCGCGGAUCAGCACGCCGCGGUGAAUACGUUCCCGGGCCUU
This 476-nucleotide ribosomal RNA is filed under the name uncultured Desulfobulbus sp. RNAcentral describes it as "bacterial SSU rRNA". It matches the Rfam family "Bacterial small subunit ribosomal RNA", at positions 912 to 1382 of the family's 1533-position model. Lineage: Bacteria; Pseudomonadati; Thermodesulfobacteriota; Desulfobulbia; Desulfobulbales; Desulfobulbaceae. The record is from RNAcentral.